UACGAGGGGGGCGAGCGUUGUUCGGAAUUAUUGGGCGUAAAGGGUGCGUAGGCGGUUUGGUAAGUCUUAUGUGAAAUCUACAGGCUCAACUUGUAGUCUGCAUGAGAAACUGCCGGGCUUGAGUAUGGGGGAGGUGAGUGGAAUUCCUGGUGUAGCGGUGAAAUGCGUAGAUAUCAGGAGGAACACCUGUGGCGAAAGCGGCUCACUGGACCAUAACUGACGCUGAUGCACGAAAGCUAGGGGAGCAAACAGG
Molecule: ribosomal RNA, 253 nt
Filed under: uncultured bacterium
Lineage: Bacteria
Description: partial 16S ribosomal RNA
Rfam family: Bacterial small subunit ribosomal RNA
Source: RNAcentral